RNAcentral lists this long non-coding RNA (580 nucleotides) under Musa acuminata (dwarf banana). RNAcentral's name for it is "long non-coding RNA (MACU_LNC000931)". Lineage: Eukaryota; Viridiplantae; Streptophyta; Magnoliopsida; Zingiberales; Musaceae. The record is from RNAcentral.
CUCGUUCUCCUUCCAUGGACCACCACCGCCCAGCACCCAAUCCCAAUCCCAACUCCGCCAAGCGCCACUCCGAGGUCCUCCUCGGAAGGUACGAGCUGGGCCGCCUCCUCGGCCGCGGCACCUUCGCUAAGGUCUACCUGGCGCGCUCCCUCUCAGACGGUGGCGCCGUGGCCGUCAAGGUCCUCGACAAGCCCGAACUGGUCGACUCCGGGUUGUCCCGCAGCUUCCUCACCGAGGUUGCCGCUAUGCGCCGCCUGUCCCACCCCAACAUCCUCAAGCUCUACGAGGUCAUGGCCACCCGGUCCAAGAUCUACCUCAUCGUGGAGCACGCCCCCGGCGGUGACCUGCUCGCCCGCGUCGCCCGCCGAGGCCGCCUCCCCGAGUCCGUCGCCCGCCGCUACUUCCAGCAGCUCGUCUCCGCCCUGCACUACUGCCACGCCCGCGGCGUCGCCCACCGCGACGUCAAGCCCCAGAACCUCCUCCUCGACCGCGACGGCAACCUCAAGGUGUCCGACUUCGGCCUGGCCGCGCUGCCCGAGCAGCUCCGCGACGGUCGCCUCCACACCGCCUGUGGCACCCC